Molecule: long non-coding RNA, 1767 nt
Organism: Glossina fuscipes
Lineage: Eukaryota; Metazoa; Arthropoda; Insecta; Diptera; Glossinidae
Exons: 3
Source: RefSeq, a predicted model, not a curated record
UUUUUUUGAAAAGAAAAUAUUUUUUCUCCCUCAAAUUGUGACAUUAUAUAAAUCAUUUUUUUUUUUUCAUGCGUAAAAAUUGUAAAGGAUUUGUUCUUCGUUUUGUGAUAAAAGAAAAAAUUUUAGUAACUCACCUUUUUCAACAUCGGUACGCUUCAUCGCGUAAAUUCAUCCAAAAUAAUCAGUGAUAUUAGUCAACUCGAAUAAAUGCACAUAAAAUAAAAUGAAAUUUUUUCCAAAUGACUGCCCGUAUUGGAAAAAAUUUUCGAAAAUUGAUAUUAACAUAUGUCAGUUGUGAAAAACGUAAAAUUUCUUGGUUUCCUACGUGUCGUAUGAAAUUAUGAUUUAUAGAAAAAAUCGCUUUUGCAUGUUUCGGAAAACUUUUCAACAAUAGGAUGAAGAAUUUCAACGUUUUUUCGGUCGAAAAAAUGCAUUGGCCGCCUCUAUGCAAAGAGGCAGAUUACACUUUCGCCAUUUCUAAGGAUAUGAAAUUUGGCAGGACAAGGCAAUAUGGUCAACAGAAAAGGCGCAAAGACUAGAUUGGUUUAAAGCUAAUAAAGGUCACUUUCCGUGACCGCGUGAAAUUGACUUCGUGAUCUAGAAUGAAUACAAUGCCUGUGCUUCAUGCAUCUCUUCUCAGCAGAGGUGGACCGUUUAACUUUGGUGAGAGAAGCUGUUGUACAAAAUGCAGCUACUAAGAGGAUCAGAUUUUUCAAGCUUAACAAUAAUUUAAAAUUCUCUGCUCACGCCCAUCAUUAAGCCGCCUAAAUAGCAUCUACAGAAAAUGGUACUUGAUCGUAACCUCUUGUAGUCCCCAUCAGGACCAAUGAUAUCUUCGCCAAUGUUUCAUUAGUUUCAAUUUACAAAAACUGAGAUAAAAUGGCAAAGAUGAAGCGCAAACCCACAAGGACGACGAGACUGGCUUUACCAAUUAAGACCACCUAGCUGAUAAACAAUUGUCGAAAAAUUAGAACAAGAUGAAGUGUACAACUAAAAGACAAAAUUCGUAUCAUCACGAAACAAAGCGACAACUUAUCUCAGUUAGGUUGAUUAACAAAAUUUCAUUCUUAUCCUUUAAAAAAAUGAACAUAGAAAUAAUAAAUAAUAAUGCAAUGGCUGAUGAAAGGAUGUGUAAUUUUGAAUGCUUUGAUCCACCUUUUUAACAGCGAACAUCAGUAAACGAGUAUCUGAUUGUUUUACAUGAGUAGCUUUUCGCAAAGAUUAAUUAUUUUCUUUGCGUGAGUGAUCGCUUCCUCCUCUUUCCGAUUUGGACGAAUAAUAGAGGAUAUCUCACAAUUCACGUAGGGCAAUGCGGAAUAGUGAUUUAACUUCGUUAAAUAUGAAGAGAUUAUUUUAAAAAUGUGGAAAGACUAGAUCACUUGGCUUUCUUAAAAAUGUAGAGUUACAGGUUAGUUAUAUUCAUUCCAUCAUUUCGCUUGAAAGUUAGUGAAGGUCGUAUAGAGUACAGAUAAAUUUACUUUGACUUAAAUGAUAAACAGCAACUAAAAGCAAAACAAUGAAAAAUAAGUGAAAACGUUAAGUCAACACAAAAUUGACCAUUACCUUACGAAGCUUCACCCGAUAACGAAUAAUCAAAUUGGUAUCUUUUUUUCAAAGUCAUAACGUCUGUAAGGUCUGCGUAACAGUACUCAGUUGUAUAGCGUACAAUAAGCAAGUUUAAAGUUUCAAAAGUAGCUUUCAUUGCAAAUCCCAGCGAAUUUUGCGGUUAUUAAUUUGCUGAACAACAGAAGAUGAAGAAAAAGAAAA